CCUCUCGGAGGCACCGUGCACAGGUGGUGCAUGGUUGUCGUCAGCUCGUGUCGUGAGAUGUUGGGUUAAGUCCCGCAACGAGCGCAACCCCUACGUUUAGUUGCUAACGCGUGAAGGCGAGCACUCUAGACGAACUGCCGUUGACAAAACGGAGGAAGGUGGGAUGACGUCAAAUCAUCAUGCCCCUUAUGUUCUGGGCUACACACGUGCUACAAUGGCCGGUACAGACGGACGCAAAGCCGCGAGGUGGAGCAAAUCCUAAAAAGCCGGUCUCAGUUCGGAUUGCAGGCUGCAAUUCGCCUGCAUGAAGUCGGAAUCGCUAGUAAUCGCAGGUCAGCAUACUGCGGUGAAUACGUUCCCGGGCCUU
Molecule: ribosomal RNA, 367 nt
Filed under: uncultured Pelotomaculum sp.
Lineage: Bacteria; Bacillati; Bacillota; Clostridia; Eubacteriales; Desulfotomaculaceae
Description: bacterial SSU rRNA
Rfam family: Bacterial small subunit ribosomal RNA
Source: RNAcentral